AUCUAACGGCCAAAGUGGUUUUGGAAAAAAAACGCACAGAAGACACCUACCCCCACCAGCGGAGUUCCGGAGCCCUCGCAGCCUCCUGUUGACCGCUCCCGCCUAAUGGAGCCGCUGACCGCCCACUCCCCCGGCCAGGACUCCCCAGGGACAGGGACGUGUCCCCAGGGCAGGCCCCUGGAUGGACGCGGCGACUGACCCCACUCCGCUGGAUGCUGUGCUGGGAAGGACACAGAGAGGUGGCUGGGGCAGCCUGCGGUCACAAAGCGAGGCCCAAAGGGGCGUUCUCCUCACCCCUGCGCCUCCUGGGUGCCGGCCUGCACCCUCUCCCUUCGCCGCCGGACUGGGGCCAUCUGGGGUGUCUCGGGGGUAUCCGGAGGGCUAAGCACCGCCGAGGGACGGCUCCGAAGGAAGAGUUUUCUGGACCCAGAAGGCAGACGCCAGUAGUAUUGUCCUAGGAGUCGGAGGUCGGGGUGGGGGAGUUCUUAGCUCUUUGGGUCGCACGGAGCUUUUCUUGGGGAAGCCCGUCAGCCUGAGCUACAGAUGCCCAUGCCGAUUCUUCGAAAGCCAUGUUGCCAGAGCCAACGUCAAGCAUCUCAAAAUUCUUAACACUCCAAACUGUGCCCUUCAGAUUGUAGCCCGGCUGAAGAACAACAACAGACAAGUGUGCAUUGACCCGAAGCUAAAGUGGAUUCAGGAGUACCUGGAGAAAGCUUUAAACAAGUAAGCACAACAGCCAAAAAGGACUUUCCGCUAGACCCACUCGAGGAAAACUAAAACCUUGUGAGAGAUGAAAGGGCAAA
This 803-nucleotide small RNA is filed under the name Pongo abelii (Sumatran orangutan). RNAcentral's name for it is "processed transcript". The record is from RNAcentral. Lineage: Eukaryota; Metazoa; Chordata; Mammalia; Primates; Hominidae.